AACGAACGCUGGCGGCGCGCCUAAUACAUGCAAGUCGAGCGAGAAGGUGUAGCAAUACACUUGUAAAGCGGCGAACGGGUGAGGAAUGCAUGGGUAACCUACCCUCGAGUGGGGAAUAACUAGCCGAAAGGUUAGCUAAUACCGCAUACGCCCUGAGGGGGAAAUGGGGGAUCGCAAGACCUCACGUUAUUGGAGCGGCCGAUAGCUGAUUAGCUAGUUGGAGGGUAAAGCCCACAAGGCGACGAUCAGUAGCUGGUCUGAGAGGACGGCCAGCCACACUGGAACUGAGAGACGGACCUAGGACUCCUACGGGAGGCAGCAGUGGGGAAUUUUGGACAAUGGGGGCAACCCUGAGUCCAGCAAUGCCGCGUGAGUGAAGAAGGCC
This 385-nucleotide ribosomal RNA is filed under the name uncultured bacterium. RNAcentral describes it as "bacterial SSU rRNA". It matches the Rfam family "Bacterial small subunit ribosomal RNA", at positions 29 to 416 of the family's 1533-position model. The record is from RNAcentral.